UGUCCUGUGGUGUAAUUGGCAACACGUCUGAUUCUGGAUCAGAAGAGUUUAGGUUCGAGCCCUAACAGGACAA
Molecule: transfer RNA, 73 nt
Filed under: Gaoshiqia sediminis
Lineage: Bacteria; Pseudomonadati; Bacteroidota; Bacteroidia; Marinilabiliales; Prolixibacteraceae
Also listed under: 1 other name
Rfam family: tRNA
About the family: Transfer RNA (tRNA) molecules are approximately 80 nucleotides in length.
Source: Rfam by way of RNAcentral